RNAcentral lists this transfer RNA (90 nucleotides) under Marilutibacter penaei. RNAcentral's name for it is "Lysobacter penaei tRNA-Ser". It matches the Rfam family "tRNA". Rfam says of the family: Transfer RNA (tRNA) molecules are approximately 80 nucleotides in length. Lineage: Bacteria; Pseudomonadati; Pseudomonadota; Gammaproteobacteria; Lysobacterales; Lysobacteraceae. The record is from RNAcentral.
GGAAGUGUGGCCGAGCGGUUGAAGGCACCGGUCUUGAAAACCGGCAACGGGUCAUUCCGUUCGUGGGUUCGAAUCCCACCGCUUCCGCCA